UACGUAGGGUGCGAGCGUUGUCCGGAAUUAUUGGGCGUAAAGCGCUUGUAGGCGGCACGUCAAGUCGCGUGUGAAAUCCCCAGGCUUAACCUGGGAAGUGCGCGCGAAACUGACGAGCUUGAGUGCCGGAGAGGGUCGCGGAAUUCCCGGUGUAGAGGUGAAAUUCAUAGAUAUCGGGAGGAACACCGGUGGCGAAGGCGGGUCUCUGGGCCGAUACUGACACUGAGGAGCGAAAGCGUGGGGAGCGAACAGG
RNAcentral lists this ribosomal RNA (253 nucleotides) under uncultured bacterium. Its description in RNAcentral is "partial 16S ribosomal RNA". It matches the Rfam family "Bacterial small subunit ribosomal RNA", at positions 524 to 776 of the family's 1533-position model. The record is from RNAcentral.